UUUAAACCAGCACCCUCAUGGCCUUCAGCAUCCUCCUACAGGAAGUGGUGUAACCCAGCAUCCUGAGCACAGAGAUGCUAUAACGUGCGCAGGGACUGUGAAGUCUCCCAACGAGCCAGUGAUGGGCCUGACAACAUACACGCCAACGUUCCAUGUUCCCUACUCAUCACAGAGAAGCAUGUUACAAGAGGUGGAAGAACCCAAGAAGCAAGAUGACAGAGAAGGAGACAGAGAGGCAGGCAAGCACGGAGGGAGAACUCUUUUUGUCAUGUAUUUUAAUGCAAGAUGCGACUGCAAGCUCUCAGGACAUAGGAAGAAUCUUUUCAGGAUAGUGUCCUCUUGGAAAAUGAGAUGUGAUACAGUAUGUGAUGGAAAACUGAGAGCACGCUUUCCUAAUAAAGCAAAUUGUAAAGAAUGAAAAUAUGAAAAUGCUUACACCUUUUCCUCUAACUGCUGAAAUCAGGCUGCUUUGAACAACAUUCACAUAGCUCCUGAGCCAGGAAAAGUCACUUGCAAAGCAUUGCGCUGCAUUGAGAGACUAUAUCCUAUUGCACACACCUCUUCCCACCUCACUUUACUGUGACAGCAAGAGAAGAAUCUGACUCCAAGGACAUUUCAGCUAACAGAGGACUGCUUUGAAAUAAAAACAUCAUCAUCACCA
Vulpes vulpes (red fox) is the source of this 661-nucleotide long non-coding RNA. The record is from Ensembl. NCBI's taxonomy places the organism in Eukaryota, Metazoa, Chordata, Mammalia, Carnivora, Canidae.